GGUUAAGCGACUAAGCGUACACGGUGGAUGCCCUGGCAGUCAGAGGCGAUGAAGGGCGUGCUAAUCUGCGAUAAGCGCCGGUAAGGUGAUAUGAACCAUUAUAACCGGCGAUACCCGAAUGGGGAAACCCAGUGUGUUUCGACACACUAUCAUUAACUGAAUCCAUAGGUUAAUGAGGCGAACCGGGGGAACUGAAACAUCUAAGUACCCCGAGGAAAAGAAAUCAACCGAGAUUCCCCCAGUAGCGGCGAGCGAACGGGGAGGAGCCCAGAGCCUGAAUCAGCAUGUGUGUUAGUGGAAGCGUCUGGAAAGGCGCGCGAUACAGGGUGACAGCCCCGUACACAAAAGCGCAUGUGCUGUGAGCUCGAUGAGUAGGGCGGGACACGUGGUAUCCUGUCUGAAUAUGGGGGGACCAUCCUCCAAGGCUAAAUACUCCUGACUGACCGAUAGUGAACCAGUACCGUGAGGGAAAGGCGAAAAGAACCCCGGCGAGGGGAGUGAAAAAGAACCUGAAACCGUGUACGUACAAGCAGUGGGAGCACCCUUUGGGGUGUGACUGCGUACCUUUUGUAUAAUGGGUCAGCGACUUAUAUUCUGUAGCAAGGUUAACCGAAUAGGGGAGCCGGAGGGAAACCGAGUCUUAAUUGGGCGUUAAGUUGCAGGGUAUAGACCCGAAACCCGGUGAUCUAGCCAUGGGCAGGUUGAAGGUUGGGUAACACUAACUGGAGGACCGAACCGACUAAUGUUGAAAAAUUAGCGGAUGACCUGUGGCUGGGGGUGAAAGGCCAAUCAAACCGGGAGAUAGCUGGUUCUCCCCGAAAGCUAUUUAGGUAGCGCCUCGUGAAUUCAUCUCCGGGGGUAGAGCACUGUUUCGGCUAGGGGGCCAUCCCGGCUUACCAACCCGAUGCAAACUGCGAAUACCGGAGAAUGUUAUCACGGGAGACACACGGCGGGUGCUAACGUCCGUCGUGAAGAGGGAAACAACCCAGACCGCCAGCUAAGGUCCCAAAGUCAUGGUUAAGUGGGAAACGAUGUGGGAAGGCCCAGACAGCCAGGAUGUUGGCUUAGAAGCAGCCAUCAUUUAAAGAAAGCGUAAUAGCUCACUGGUCGAGUCGGCCUGCGCGGAAGAUGUAACGGGGCUAAACCAUGCACCGAAGCUGCGGCAGCGACACUAUGUGUUGUUGGGUAGGGGAGCGUUCUGUAAGCCUGUGAAGGUGGCCUGUGAGGGUUGCUGGAGGUAUCAGAAGUGCGAAUGCUGACAUAAGUAACGAUAAAGCGGGUGAAAAGCCCGCUCGCCGGAAGACCAAGGGUUCCUGUCCAACGUUAAUCGGGGCAGGGUGAGUCGACCCCUAAGGCGAGGCCGAAAGGCGUAGUCGAUGGGAAACGGGUUAAUAUUCCCGUACUUGGUGUUACUGCGAAGGGGGGACGGAGAAGGCUAUGUUGGCCGGGCGACGGUUGUCCCGGUUUAAGCGUGUAGGUGUGUGUUCCAGGUAAAUCCGGUUCACUUUAACACUGAGGCGUGAUGACGAGGCACUACGGUGCUGAAGCAACAAAUGCCCUGCUUCCAGGAAAAGCCUCUAAGCAUCAGGUAACAUCAAAUCGUACCCCAAACCGACACAGGUGGUCAGGUAGAGAAUACCAAGGCGCUUGAGAGAACUCGGGUGAAGGAACUAGGCAAAAUGGUGCCGUAACUUCGGGAGAAGGCACGCUGACACGUAGGUGAAGUGAUUUACUCAUGGAGCUGAAGUCAGUCGAAGAUACCAGCUGGCUGCAACUGUUUAUUAAAAACACAGCACUGUGCAAACACGAAAGUGGACGUAUACGGUGUGACGCCUGCCCGGUGCCGGAAGGUUAAUUGAUGGGGUCAGCGCAAGCGAAGCUCCUGAUCGAAGCCCCGGUAAACGGCGGCCGUAACUAUAACGGUCCUAAGGUAGCGAAAUUCCUUGUCGGGUAAGUUCCGACCUGCACGAAUGGCGUAAUGAUGGCCAGGCUGUCUCCACCCGAGACUCAGUGAAAUUGAACUCGCUGUGAAGAUGCAGUGUACCCGCGGCAAGACGGAAAGACCCCGUGAACCUUUACUAUAGCUUGACACUGAACAUUGAGCCUUGAUGUGUAGGAUAGGUGGGAGGCUUUGAAGUGUGGACGCCAGUCUGCAUGGAGCCGGCCUUGAAAUACCACCCUUUAAUGUUUGAUGUUCUAACGUGGACCCGUGAUCCGGGUUGCGGACAGUGUCUGGUGGGUAGUUUGACUGGGGCGGUCUCCUCCUAAAGAGUAACGGAGGAGCACGAAGGUUGGCUAAUCCUGGUCGGACAUCAGGAGGUUAGUGCAAUGGCAUAAGCCAGCUUGACUGCGAGCGUGACGGCGCGAGCAGGUGCGAAAGCAGGUCAUAGUGAUCCGGUGGUUCUGAAUGGAAGGGCCAUCGCUCAACGGAUAAAAGGUACUCCGGGGAUAACAGGCUGAUACCGCCCAAGAGUUCAUAUCGACGGCGGUGUUUGGCACCUCGAUGUCGGCUCAUCACAUCCUGGGGCUGAAGUAGGUCCCAAGGGUAUGGCUGUUCGCCAUUUAAAGUGGUACGCGAGCUGGGUUUAGAACGUCGUGAGACAGUUCGGUCCCUAUCUGCCGUGGGCGCUGGAGAACUGAGGGGGGCUGCUCCUAGUACGAGAGGACCGGAGUGGACGCAUCACUGGUGUUCGGGUUGUCAUGCCAAUGGCACUGCCCGGUAGCUAAAUGCGGAAGAGAUAAGUGCUGAAAGCAUCUAAGCACGAAACUUGCCCCGAGAUGAGUUCUCCCUGAGACUUAGAGUCUCCUGAAGGAACGUUGAAGACGACGACGUUGAUAGGCCGGGUGUGUAAGCGCAGCGAUGCGUUGAGCUAACCGGUACUAAUGAACCGUGAGGCUUAACCUU
Molecule: ribosomal RNA, 2905 nt
Filed under: Salmonella enterica subsp. enterica
Lineage: Bacteria; Pseudomonadati; Pseudomonadota; Gammaproteobacteria; Enterobacterales; Enterobacteriaceae
Also listed under: 1 other name
Description: 23S ribosomal RNA
Rfam family: Bacterial large subunit ribosomal RNA
Source: RNAcentral